Molecule: ribosomal RNA, 775 nt
Filed under: uncultured Neocallimastigales
Lineage: Eukaryota; Fungi; Neocallimastigomycota; Neocallimastigomycetes; Neocallimastigales
Description: partial large subunit ribosomal RNA
Rfam family: Eukaryotic large subunit ribosomal RNA
Source: RNAcentral
UAUGUGAUCGUCUCUCGCAUAUCAAUAAGCGGAGGAAAAGAAACUAACAAGGAUUCCCCUAGCUAACGGCGAGUGAAGCGGGAAGAGCUCAAAUUUGAAAUCUUAAAGGGUUUCCCUUUACGAAUUGUAGUUUAAAGAAGUGUUUUCUGUUGAGGUUUUGGUAAAAGUUCUUUGGAAUAGGACAUCAUAGAGGGUGAGAAUCCCGUAUUUGACCUUUACUUUCAACUUUGUGAUACACUUUCAAAGAGUCGGAUUGUUUGGGAAUGCAGUCCAAAAUGGGUGGUAAAUUUCAUCUAAAGCUAAAUAUUGGCGAGAGACCGAUAGCGAACAAGUACCGUGAGGGAAAGAUGAAAAGAACUUUGAAAAGAGAGUUAAACAGUACGUGAAAUUGUCAAAAGGGAAGCGUUUGACACCAGUGUUGUUUUUCUGAAAAUCAAUUAAAGAACUGUUUAUGCUAAGCUGUUUAGACUUUAUCAGCUAUCUGUUUAGUUUUGAGCUUUUCUUUAAUGCACUUUUCAGUUAACAAGUCAACAUCAAUUUCUUUUGCUGUAAAAAAGCUUGAGGAAGGUGGCUUGAGAUUCGUCUUAAGUGUUUAUAGCCUCUUGCCUAUGCAGUCGGAGAGAUUGAGGUCUGCAGCGUAGAUCCUUCGGGGCUAAAUGCAUUUGUGCUAAGUUAUAGCAUUUUAUAGACAACUUGUUGACUAUGAUUUGUCUUGUAGCUUACUCGCUUAUGUUAUUUUACCUACGCUUAGGAUGUUGAGCGCAUGUCUCUCUCU